Molecule: ribosomal RNA, 332 nt
Filed under: Mesobacillus jeotgali
Lineage: Bacteria; Bacillati; Bacillota; Bacilli; Caryophanales; Bacillaceae
Description: bacterial SSU rRNA
Rfam family: Bacterial small subunit ribosomal RNA
Source: RNAcentral
UUAAGUCUGAUGUGAAAGCCCCCGGCUCAACCGGGGAGGGUCAUUGGAAACUGGGGAACUUGAGUGCAGAAGAGGAGAGCGGAAUUCCACGUGUAGCGGUGAAAUGCGUAGAGAUGUGGAGGAACACCAGUGGCGAAGGCGGCUCUCUGGUCUGUAACUGACGCUGAGGCGCGAAAGCGUGGGGAGCGAACAGGAUUAGAUACCCUGGUAGUCCACGCCGUAAACGAUGAGUGCUAAGUGUUAGAGGGUUUCCGCCCUUUAGUGCUGCAGCAAACGCAUUAAGCACUCCGCCUGGGGAGUACGGCCGCAAGGCUGAAACUCAAAGGAAUUGA